GAAUAUUGGACAAUGGGGGCAACCCUGAUCCAGCAAUGCCGCGUGAGUGAAGAAGGCCUUCGGGUUGUAAAGCUCUUUUAUCAGGGACGAUAAUGACGGUACCUGAGGAAUAAGCUCCGGCUAACUUCGUGCCAGCAGCCGCGGUAAUACGAAGGGAGCUAGCGUUGUUCGGAAUUACUGGGCGUAAAGGGCGCGUAGGCGGUAAGAUAAGUCAGAUGUGAAAGCCUUGGGCUUAACCUGAGAACUGCAUUUGAUACUGUCUAACUAGAGGACGAGAGAGGAAAGUGGAAUUACGAGUGUAGAGGUGAAAUUCGUAGAUAUUCGUAAGAACACCAGUGGCGAAGGCGACUUUCUGGCUCGUUUCUGACGCUAAGGCGCGAAAGCGUGGGGAGCAAACAG
This 399-nucleotide ribosomal RNA is filed under the name uncultured bacterium. RNAcentral's name for it is "bacterial SSU rRNA". It matches the Rfam family "Bacterial small subunit ribosomal RNA", at positions 359 to 775 of the family's 1533-position model. The record is from RNAcentral.